Long non-coding RNA from Ahaetulla prasina, 267 nucleotides. RefSeq lists it as uncharacterized. NCBI's taxonomy places the organism in Eukaryota, Metazoa, Chordata, Lepidosauria, Squamata, Colubridae. The record is from RefSeq and is a predicted model, not a curated record. The transcript has 5 exons.
GGGCAUGAGUGGCGGUAGUCCUGGUAUGGUGGGAAUGAACGUCGGUGGUGGAGGUGGAUUGCCAGGAAUGAGUGUCGGUGCUGAAGGUGGAAUGGCAGGAAGACAGAAUUCGAGAAAAUAGAGAGUCCAAAGCUGGAAUAACGGAAUUGAUGGAAAUAUCUGAAUAUGCUGGAAAGGUCCAGCAGCAUUCUUCAUAUCUACAACGGGAACAAGACUGUUGUGCUCAAGAACAUCCACUGAUCCAGUCUAUUCAGCGCGUGAUGGUGG